AUGAGAACACAGUCCAUACGCUACUGGGAUUUCCUGAAGUUCUGGGGCCCCAGCAAGUAUGGGAAGGAAGCGCCCGCCGGUGAGCGAGCCCGGAGGGAACAAACAGAAGAUGGCCGGGCCCCGAAGAGCCCCACACUCUGUGUUCUUGGAACCCAGAUGCAGGAGCUGGAGUGUGUGCAGCCAACAGCCAGGAGGCGAGGUGUCAGCCGCCAGGAGAAAACCGCUCGCCUCCAGCUCCCGGCACGCCGCCCGCAGCUCCGUGAAGGGUCUCUCGGCCCACGCGCCUCUGGAAUGGAAAACAGAUUGGAAGGCAGGCGCAGGCUGCCAGCUGGGUGCUGUUCAGACAUCUGCCGGCCAUCAGGAGCCACCUCGUGUUCCCGGUCCUCUCGCAGCUCGCUGCACGAGAACAGGAGCGAGUUUCUCCAGGGACCACGGGCCUGUGAGUGCACAGAGUGUGCUGAGCGGCUUGCUGUGGGAGGCCUGGCUCAGCCUCGGGGGACAGCAGGGCACUCAGCCCACCGACCCCUUUUUUCAGGCAUGGAUGACCUCUCUGUGCUUCCACUGGUCCAAGCUGGUGAGGGGUUUCAAACGCUACCCACACUGCCAUCUCUGGCUGUCCUUGUCGGCCAAGAAAAUUCCGUACGAAAGGGACUUCAAGAGCUCAUGAAAAUGAGAUUAGAAGCCCGUCCAGCUCCCUGGUCUGCUACUAAGAGGGGCGCCGUGAGAAGGGCGGGCCAUCCCUUCCCAGUGGAGUGGCGGUGCAGUGGCCAGCAGCCCGGGACUCUGACUGCUACACCGCAAAGCCCGAAAGAUGAAGAGAAACCGCUUCGCAGGCGCAGGCGACGCUGGGCUCUGCCUUCCCUGCAAACCCACGAGGCGGCUUUCACGCCUGACUUUCGAACGCCUCGACUGAGAGGGAGCAGGAUCUGUGAUGACUCAGCACUUUUGUUCUAAGUACUGCGGGGGGGGGGGGGCAGACUCUGUGGAUGACUGAGCACCUUCGAUGCAUUUUCCGUGACUCCUGGGCGGUGAGGAUGGAGAGGCGGGAGCACCUGCAGGAGGAGCCCGGCUCGCUGCUGCGCCCUGAGAUGAUGUUUACUCCUGGCGUUGCCAGACAGCAAGUGCCUGCCCCACACUGCGGGGACAACCUAGUUAGCUUCCAUUUUCGGUCACAGAACAUUCUAUUGUGACCAUUCGACUCGUAAUAUAGAAUAAUAUAUGAUUAAGUGGUGUGUUGUUAUAUUUGAUAACAAGUCAACGUAUUCCCCAGUAUCUCUUGUCCCACCCAGAAAGAAAACAACACCACAUUGCUAUAGUUAGACCCCCACCCUCGUUGCUGGUUUGGAUGUCACCACACACAUGCUCUUAAACACUUACACACACACGCACACACACACACACACGGACUCAGGACUGGCAUUUGCUUGCAAAAUGGAGUCACAUGAUGGGCAUUUUGCACCUGCUUUUCAUCAGCUCUUCCCGUGUCGGCGUAUGUAGGACCCGGUCCGCUGGAAGCGCCACUCAGCAUUCCCUUGCCUUUCUGUACCCCCAAAGUAUCUAUUGUUGGAGAGCUUGAGUCAGAAACAAAAUGUGUUCUUUAGACCUUUUAUCCCUUCUCUCAGAACAUCCCAGAAGCCUUGGAAAAGACAGAAGUGGCUGGAAACCCACACAAAGGCAAAGGGAAAAGCAAACACAGCUCCUGGCUGGGAGGCGAGCCGAGCCGCCUGGGAAUGUCCGGCCCCGUGGGGUGCUGGUCGACCCUGUGAGAUCUCAGGGCUCGGGGAGUUCUGGUUGAAAAUAGAACGGCUUCCGCUUUAUCUUCAGAUAUCAGACCUAGAAUGGUGUCAAGACGUGGCUGCAGACACACUUCAGACGGCAAGCCCGGAGGUGUCCACAUGCUGUGACAGCUCUAUUCUGGUGCCGUGCACGCAUCCCAGACAGACACCAUGGGGCCAACAGCAGCAGAACGGGGGGGCGGAGUGGCGACUGGGUUUCCUUCUGGCGC
RNAcentral lists this long non-coding RNA (2005 nucleotides) under Oryctolagus cuniculus (rabbit). RNAcentral's name for it is "lncRNA (ENSOCUG00000035202.1)". Lineage: Eukaryota; Metazoa; Chordata; Mammalia; Lagomorpha; Leporidae. The record is from RNAcentral.